GAAAGUAAUAAAGGGCGUAUGGGGGAUGCCUAGGCUCUUGGAGGCGAAGAAAGACGUGGUAAGCUGCGAUAAGCCUCGGGGAUUUGCAAACGAGAAUUGAUCCGAGGAUUUCUGAAUGGGACAACCCGGCAGGCAGAAGGCCUGUCACACGAAAGUGGGCCAACCCUCUGAACUGAAACAUCUUAGUAGGAGGAGGAAAAGAAAGAAACAUCGAUUUCCUAAGUAGCGGCGAGCGAACGGGAAACAGCCUAAACCACAAUUGUUACGGCAACUGUGGGGUUGUAGGACUGCAAUAUUCAAAUGACUGUGAACUGGAAUGUUCUGGAAAGUUCAUCCGUAGAGAGUGAAAGACUCGUACAGGUAAGCACGUCAGGCGAUAGCAGUAUCCUGAGUAGGGCGGGACACGAGGAAUCCUGUCUGAAUCCGCCGGGACCACCCGGUAAGGCUAAAUACUCCCAAGAGACCGAUAGUGAACCAGUACCGUGAGGGAAAGGUGAAAAGAACCCCGAACAGGGGAGUGAAAUAGAACCUGAAACCAUACGCUUACAACCUGUCGGAGCGGCUUCGUGCCGUGACGGCGUGCCUAUUGAAUAAUGAGCCUACGAGUUACUAAUCACUGGCAAGGUUAAGUGCACGGAUGCACGGAGCCGAAGCGAAAGCGAGUCUGAACAGGGCGUUUAGUCAGUGGUUGUAGACGCGAAACCUUGCGAUCUACCCUUGAGCAGGUUGAAGGUUGGGUAAAACCAACUGGAGGACCGAACGAAUAAGCGUUGAAAAGCUUCUCGAUGACUUGAGGGUAGGGGUGAAAGGCUAAUCAAGCUGGGAAAUAGCUCGUACUCCCCGAAAUGCCUUUAGGGGCAGCGUUGUAAUUAAGAGUCUACUGGAGGUAGAGCUACUGAUUGGAUGCGGGGGCUUCACCGCCUACCAAAUCCUGACAAACUCCGAAUGCCAGUAGUAUGAUUUACAGCAGUGAGCGACCGGGUGCUAAUGUCCGGUUACGAGAGUGGAACAACACAGACCAGCAACUAAGGUCCCCAAGAGUAUACUAAGUUGAUCUAACGAUGUUUUGCUGCAGAGACAGCUAGGAUGUUAGCUUGGAAGCAGCUAUUCAUUCAAAGAGUGCGUAACAGCUCACUAGUCGAGCGGCAAAGCGUGGAUAAUAAACGGGCAUCAAGUAUACCACCGAAGUUCUGGGCACGAAAGUGCGGUAGGGGAGCAUUCCAUUCCGCGUUGAAGCCGAACCGUGAGGUUUGGUGGAGUGUAUGGAAAAGCAAAUGUAGGCAUGAGUAACGAUAAUGCGGGAGAGUAACCCGCACACCGCAAGACCAAGGUUUCCUGAUCAACGCUAAUCGGAUCAGGGUUAGUCGGGUCCUAAGGGUAAGCCGAACGGUGAUCUCGAUGGAUAAUCGGUUAAUAUUCCGAUACUGACAUAUACCUCGAUGGAGAGACGAAGGAACGUAAGUGCCGCCACCUGACGGAAUAGGUGGUUAAAGGGCUUAGGUAUAGGGACAGAUUAAGAGUUAGUCCUUGCUGAAACCUGACAGUACAGAGAGCCUACGGGCAAUUUGAUAGUGCACCCAAGUCGACUUCCGAGAAAAUCUUCUAAGUUAUAGUAUAUGUCACCCGUACCGUAAACCGACACAGGUGGUCGAGGAGAGUAUCCUAAGGUGCUCGAGUGAAUCACGGUUAAGGAACUAGGCAAAUUAACCCCGUAACUUCGGGAAAAGGGGUCCCAUCGCGAGGUGGGCGCAGCGAAGAGGUCCAGGCGACUGUUUAUCAAAAACACAGGGCUCUGCAAAUUCGAAAGAAGACGUAUAGGGCCUGACACCUGCCCGGUGCUGGAAGGUUAAGAGGGGAUGUCAUCGCAAGAGAAGCAUUGAAUCGAAGCCCCAGUAAACGGCGGCCGUAACUAUAACGGUCCUAAGGUAGCGAAAUUCCUUGUCGGGUAAGUUCCAACCUGCACGAAUGGUGUAACGAUCUGGACACUGUCUCAACCGUGAGCUCGGUGAAAUUGUAGUCCCGGUGAUGAUGCCGGGUACCCGCAACGGGACGAAAAGACCCCGUGAACCUUUACUAUAGCUUAACGCUGAAUUUGGGUACACAAUGUGUAGGAUAGGCAGGAGACUACGAAGCGGGCACGCCAGUGUUCGUGGAGUC
Molecule: ribosomal RNA, 2157 nt
Filed under: human gut metagenome
Description: bacterial LSU rRNA
Rfam family: Bacterial large subunit ribosomal RNA
Source: RNAcentral